GAUGAACGCUGGCGGCGUGCCUAAUACGUGCAAGUCGAGCGAACGGACGAGAAGCUUGCUUCUCUGAUGUUAGCGGCGGACGGGUGAGUAACACGUGGAUAACCUACCUAUAAGACUGGGAUAACUUCGGGAAACCGGAGCUAAUACCGGAUAAUAUUUUGAACCGCAUGGUUCAAAAGUGAAAGACGGUCUUGCUGUCACUUAUAGCUGGAUCCGCGCUGCAUUAGCUAGUUGGUAAGGUAACGGCUUACCAAGGCAACGAUGCAUAGCCGACCUGAGAGGGUGAUCGGCCACACUGGAACUGAGACACGGUCCAGACUCCUACGGGAGGCAGCAGUAGGGAAUCUUCCGCAAUGGGCGAAAGCCUGACGGAGCAACGCCGCGUGAGUGAUGAAGGUCUUCGGAUCGUAAAACUCUGUUAUUAGGGAAGAACAUAUGUGUAAGUAACUGUGCACAUCUUGACGGUACCUAAUCAGAAAGCCACGGCUAACUACGUG
Molecule: ribosomal RNA, 497 nt
Filed under: uncultured bacterium
Lineage: Bacteria
Description: partial 16S ribosomal RNA
Rfam family: Bacterial small subunit ribosomal RNA
Source: RNAcentral